RNAcentral lists this unclassified non-coding RNA (1632 nucleotides) under Hevea brasiliensis (rubber tree). The record is from RNAcentral. Lineage: Eukaryota; Viridiplantae; Streptophyta; Magnoliopsida; Malpighiales; Euphorbiaceae.
AUAACAAGAAAUGCUCAUAGACAGUCCAAAUUCCCCAUCAAUCAUUCCUAUAUGGGAAAAUAUGUUGAUCACAAGACAGAGUCAACUAAAAUUCUCUUUCUAUGUUGAGUUAGAAUGUUAAAAGUAGAAUGGAACAUGUUUCUAUAUUCUAUUAUUAUGCACAUUCACCACUUGAUUGAAUAUAGGAAGAGCUUCUUUGCCCCGUCCAGCGGUUUCUAGCCUAGUAGCUGGGGGAAAAGAAAGAGAAGCUUGAAGCUUGGAUUCAGGGAGUGAUUUGCUUGCGUGAAGCAGCAGGUUGAAUUGCCACGGAAGGAGAUAAGCCCAAAGGAAUCCAAGCAUUCAAGCAUGGAGUACGUGGAUCAAGCGCUCUCGUGCAACCCUUGGUAAUUUGCCUGUGAUUGAAGGGCAGACUUACACCUGCCGACUUACAGUGCCGGCUACUGGUGUCAAAGCAUAGAAGCCCUUCAGGUCCCAUGGGGCUUGCUGGUGCUUCAUGUUUUCUUUUCCUCUUCAGUACUUUCCAUAAUAGCUUGUCAUCUUUUGUUUUCUCUUCCUCCAUGCCUAAUAACUCGUGUGAAGUAGGAGGUUUUAUAAGCCCAACUUCAGAAAGGGAAAGGUGUUCAUUCAUUCUCGUCACUCUUUCUUCUACCGUCUUUAACUUGCAUAUAGCCUCAAUUUUUCCCUCUUCUGCCACCCUGACUUUCUUCCUUGCUUCUUCUAACUGGAGCGUUCCAUCUCUUAUCCUUCUUUCCAUCUCCUCCACCAUGGCCAAUAAGCGCACAAAUGUUCCAUUCCUUAUAUCAUCCUUCAUGCCCAUCACAUACUCCACCAUUGGAUUACACAUCUUUUCAGCCAAUCCCUGAAUUAGGUUCUCCACACCGCCCUCCACCGAGCCCAGAAUAGCAUUCACAUUGUUGAAUAUUUCUUUAAGGAGCCUCAGUGUUAUGAGAAAUAUGUCAUGGUUUUGACUAUGAAGGGCAGAUAUAUGAGACACGGAUUUCUGGAAGAACUUGUUGAGGGAGACACGGUGGCUGUCAAGGGUCCCGAAAAUGUCAUCUUGACGACAGUUGACGUGGAUUUCAAUUUGUCUAAGGAGGCGCACUAGUUGUAAGAAGUUUGUUUGUUGCUUCUCCAUGAGUUCUUUGCCUGCUAUGGCAGCUCUAGUAGCAUAACUUUCUUCCUCCAAUUUACCAAUCUGAUAGCUUUGCUCUCUUCUUGUAUUACCAUCCGAUGAUUCCGAUUCCACUCCAUUUCUCCGGCUUCCUUGAGAGAAAUGAUUAUCGACAAUAAUGGUGGUGAAUCGUCCUUCAUCGGCCAUUUCCUUAGUUUUUAGACCGACCAGUUUGAUCAACGGAAUCGCCAAAGACGCAAACACUUCUUCCGCCUCAAGCAAACCGGAGUUGAUCUGAGACUUGAGCUCGUGAUACGCUAUCUUCAUUUGCUCGUGGCGAGAGGCGAGCCUUUUGAGCUUGAAGCAAAGCUCAUUCGUAGACGGAGACGGAGUACUCCGAGAUCUCUGGUGCCGAUUCGCCAUUUUUGGCGGGAAGAAGCUCAUUUGCCACACUUCAGUGACUCUGGAAUUUUACCUCAAACCGUUUCACGGGAAGUUUGAAUAAUUGAAACGAGUUUAUU